CAGAUGAGAGCAGUUGGCAGUUAUUUUGCAGGAGGCUUCUCAGGGAUGAAGGCAAGCUGGCCCCUAGCUGAUCAGCUGGUUGGUGAGGACUCUUCACGAAAUAACUCAGCACUCAUGAUCAGCUGUCAAGCUAUAACGGAGUGUUGAGGCAGUCCCUGAAACCACAGCGCCAUUUUGUAGGAACUAAGAAGCCAACCUCAAGGAAUCACUCGCCCCAAGAAGACUUUGUUCUGAUCUGAUGUGUUUCUAGCCUGGUGGAGCCUCAGCUAUCCAAAGGAAGAGCUGUUAAGAUGAUUGGAAUUUUGGUUUUUCCGAUUCACUCUUUUUUCUCUCCAGCCAUCUGCCUUAGACAGCAGGAGAAAAGGAAACUUAGCCUCAGAGGUGGGGUCCUUCGGAAGGACUGACAGUGGGCUAGCUCUCCUGCUGCUGGGAGCCUGAGUGCCUUUGGCUCCUUGUCCAGACCUCAGCUUUACCACGGAGGUUACCUGCUUACCAUCAACAUCGAAACUUGCCUCUUCCCCUGGGUGUAUUCUCCCUCUUUUGUGUACAGUUUGAUUCCUCCAAACUGCUCUCCCUGUGAAGAAAGCCGAUGGAAUUCAGGGAGCCUGGCCAGCCACCCAGGCCUUUAUAAAGGUCCUCGUACCACAGGAUGUAUGGGAGACCCAAUAAAGACUUUUGCAAAAUGC
RNAcentral lists this long non-coding RNA (686 nucleotides) under Mus musculus (house mouse). RNAcentral describes it as "RIKEN cDNA 1700008K24 gene, transcript variant 5 (1700008K24Rik)". The record is from RNAcentral. Lineage: Eukaryota; Metazoa; Chordata; Mammalia; Rodentia; Muridae.